GAAAAGGGAACUUCUCACUUUAUCUUCUUUCCUUACACUGAAUUUAAGCUCAUCUCUGGGGUGGAGAAGGUAGAGACUUAGCAUCUUGUGAGCUGUCAAGGAGGAAAAACUGGGAAAAAAUGCCCCAGCAAUUAGCAUGUUCCUAAUGCACACCUGAUUUUAGUAAAAGCUGUCAAGUCUGCUAGCAAGUUCAUUUCCAAGUACUAUAUUUAGGGAUGCGUCUUGCAGUGACAUAUGUGGAGGAUGACGCAUGGAUCAGUCUCAUUCCUGCAUGGGAAACUUCCAGUCUGUGCUGCUUUCACUGGCUGGAAUAAAUGAGCACCCUCCUGGUGAUUCCAUCAGGCCAUGUGAGCAGGAAAUAUGCAGGUCCUUGGGAGCUGCAGGAGUGCAGGAUUGUGUAACUCAUUGGCAAAAGUGUGUGUAUCUAUUGGCAAUCUAUUGUCAAGUUUAGGUCCAGACCAGUAAUGGUGUUUAAUCACCAACCUCUUUGUAAUUACACUGGAGGCCAACCUCUCCAACGUGUGCUUCAGCAUCGUGCAUCCAGAGUGUGUGUCCUAGCAUCAAAAUAUCCCAGCAUCAUCAGGGUACUUCAGCGCACAGAGGCUGCUGUCUAUGAGGUCUUUAUGCAGCUAUCUAUCCCAGACAGGAAAACCACAGCCUUCAGAAGGGGAGGAGGAUGCCUCCAGUUCAGCUCUAAGAGGGGACAAAAUCCUGUAUUUCCUUUUAAUUGAUUUUUUUAACUCUGCCCUUCUAAAAAGGCUGAACUAAAACCCAAGGCCACGUAGGUACGAAACAGAGCAACCCACGUCAGCAAGGAGCUUGCUCUUCAUCAG
Long non-coding RNA from Neopsephotus bourkii (Bourke's parrot), 833 nucleotides. RefSeq lists it as uncharacterized. The record is from RefSeq and is a predicted model, not a curated record. The transcript is spliced from 3 exons. Lineage: Eukaryota; Metazoa; Chordata; Aves; Psittaciformes; Psittacidae.